UCGAUGAAGCCGGGGCGUGAGCCAUCCGGUGGAGAGAUCACUAGUGAGAAUGAUGACAUGAGUAGCGACAAAGAGUGUGAGAGACACUCUCGCCGAAAGUCCAAGGGUUCCUGCUUAAAGCUAAUCUGAGCAGGGUAAGCCGACCCCUAAGGCGAGGCCGAAAGGCGUAGUCGAUGGGAACCAGGUUAAUAUUCCUGGGCCAGGAGGAUGUGACGGAUCUGAGCCGUUGUUCACACUUAUCGGAUUGUGUGGGCAGCCAACAGGUUCCUGGAAAUAGCCCUCCAUGAGAUCGUACCCUAAACCGACACAGGUGGACUGGUAGAGAAUACCAAGGCGCUUGAGAGAACGAUGUUGAAGGAACUCGGCAAAAUACCUCCGUAAGUUCGCGAGAAGGAGGCCCGGUUUCUAGGCAACUGGAAGCUGGGGGCACAAACCAGGGGGUGGCGACUGUUUACUAAAAACACAGGGCUCUGCGAAG
Molecule: ribosomal RNA, 478 nt
Filed under: Lingulaulax polyedra
Lineage: Eukaryota; Dinophyceae; Gonyaulacales; Lingulodiniaceae
Description: Lingulodinium polyedra partial Bacterial large subunit ribosomal RNA
Rfam family: Bacterial large subunit ribosomal RNA
Source: RNAcentral